UAAUGCCUACGGGGGGCAGCAGUGGGGGAUAUUGCACAAUGGGGGGAACCCUGAUGCAGCGACGCCGCGUGGGUGAAGGAGUAUUUCGGUAUGUAAAGCCCUAUCAGCAGGGAAGAACAAUGACGGUACCUGACUAAGAAGCACCGGCGAAAUACGUGCCAGCAGCCGCGGUAAUACGUAUGGUGCAAGCGUUAUCCGGCUUUACUGAGUGUAAAGGGAGCGCAGGCGGCGCGUUAAGCCUGGUGUGAAAGCCAGCGGCCCAACCGCGGAACUGCAUUGGGAACUGGCGCGCUGUAGUGCCGGAG
Molecule: ribosomal RNA, 305 nt
Filed under: uncultured bacterium
Lineage: Bacteria
Description: bacterial SSU rRNA
Rfam family: Bacterial small subunit ribosomal RNA
Source: RNAcentral